GAUCCUGGCUCAGGACGAACGCUGGCGGCGCGCCUAACACAUGCAAGUCGAACGGAAUCAAGAGGAGCUUGCUUUUCUUGAUUUAGUGGCGAACGGGUGAGUAACGCGUGAGUAACCUGCCCUGGAGUGGGGGACAACAGUUGGAAACGACUGCUAAUACCGCAUAAGCCCACGGUACCGCAUGGCACUGAGGGAAAAGGAUUUAUUCGCUUCAGGAUGGACUCGCGUCCAAUUAGCUAGUUGGUG
This 246-nucleotide ribosomal RNA is filed under the name uncultured bacterium. RNAcentral describes it as "partial 16S ribosomal RNA". It matches the Rfam family "Bacterial small subunit ribosomal RNA", at positions 15 to 254 of the family's 1533-position model. The record is from RNAcentral.